UUUUUUUUUUUUGGUCUUGACCAAAUUUUCCACUGUAAGUCUGAAUGCCUUUUAUAAUGAAAGAAAAAGACUUUAAAAUACAGUGUGAAAGUGUGACAAAGUCAUGUGAACACAGAAGAAGAAAACUCAGAGCCGUUAAGUGAGGAAGAGCUUCUCAGAAGAGGCAUCACCUACGCCACGCCAAGCAUGGAAGUUGUUGUUUAGAUUUGGAUCCCAGUAUGAAUCGUACACAAGGCUUAGGAAAGAUGAAAGAAGGAUGGAGAACAAGGACUGAUGAGUUCGGGAUAACGUGAGUGAAAUAUGGUCUCGAUUGCACCCAUCUGUUAAAUGAGGAAGAUGGACGAGGAUGACCUCUAAGUUCUUUCCAGCUUUAACACAUUAUGAGCUUUGCUACAUCUCCCAUCUCAUUGAUACUUUUGCUUUUAGCACCUCACAAUUCGACCCCUCUCUGAAAUACUGCAUUUUCUAUUCAUUCCAUCACUAUUAAUCUAAAAUAUUGGAAUGUCCAACAAAGACGGGCUUUAAAAUAAAGUAUUUAUUAAAUAAAAUAGGAGACAUCCCUAUAACAGAAUCCUAUUGACAGUAUGGCUGGUAACAUAUUGACACUGUCGCUAGAUGGCCACUUAUUAAAGUGGAAAGUUGUUCAUAAGUUAAAAAAAGUUAAAAACCAUGAUAUCAUAGUAAAGGAAACCCUGGAAUAUCUGGAAAGAGAUUCACCAACAUAUGAUUAUCUCCCAAUGGUGGGAUUAUGAGUGACUUUUUCUUUCUGGAUUAAUGCAUUUUCUAAUAUUUUUACAAUGAACAUAGAUUACUUAUGCUAUAAAACAGGAGAGAAAUAAAAGACUGCAUCUCAAAUCAUCCUAAAAAGAUUGCUUGGGCUAUUCUUAAACUUUCUAUGGAAAGUGAUUCCUUGCCCUCCAUUUAUCCAUUCAAGGCUUCUUACUGACUUCACAGCGAGGCUGCAGAUUUCCACUUGACCCAGAAUUGGUCCUCCGGUUUGCAUCAGCUCCACCUUCGCUAAGUCUCUCCCCAAACACUGCCUCUUCCCAUUUCUUCUGGACUGGAUCCAGUCAGCUUCUUCUAGGUUCCAUCUUGUGUCAUAGAGAUGAAAAUAGGCUAAAAGCUCUAUUCCCAGACUUCUCUGAGGCUGUGGUUCAAUUUAGGUUCUGCAGUGAGAUGCUCUCGCAUGAAGAUUAGAAGGCAGGAGGAGACAAGAUGCUAUCUUCCUGCAGUGUUGCUGCUUAACACUGACACUGACACCGGCUGCAGCAGCCCAGCUCUACCAGCUCACGUGUGGUGGGUGGCUCUGGAGUGGCCAGACUGGUGGCAGUACAGUCUUGGCAGUUUCCUGAUCUCUGCAUCACAACUACUGUAGUGUGACCUUGAAGCCAAAAGAACCCCUGACUUAUUCCUCCAGUCCUUCCAAUGAUACUGUAGGCACCUAAUUCCCUGUGUUUCAUCUCUUUCUGCUUGACAUGCCUGGAGUGGUUUAUUUUUCCUGCAUUGAAACCUGAGAGACACAUCAUCCAGGCAGAGUCUAUUGGCCAUGUAAAGCCUGGUUCACAUCCCGUCUUCUCCAUGAAGACGUCACUGAAGAGUGUGUAGAUCUACCUAAUACUAGACUA
Molecule: non-coding RNA, 1625 nt
Organism: Delphinapterus leucas (beluga whale)
Lineage: Eukaryota; Metazoa; Chordata; Mammalia; Artiodactyla; Monodontidae
Source: RefSeq, a predicted model, not a curated record